UGGGGAAUAUUGCACAAUGGGGGAAACCCUGAUGCAGCGACGCCGCGUGAGUGAGGAAGUAUUUCGGUAUGUAAAGCUCUAUCAGCAAGGAAGAAAAUGACGGUACCUGACUAAGAAGCCCCGGCUAACUACGUGCC
This 137-nucleotide ribosomal RNA is filed under the name uncultured bacterium. Its description in RNAcentral is "partial 16S ribosomal RNA". It matches the Rfam family "Bacterial small subunit ribosomal RNA", at positions 355 to 509 of the family's 1533-position model. The record is from RNAcentral.